UUUUUUUUUUUUUUUUUUUUUUUUUUUUUUUUUUUUUUUUCCAUUUUACCCUUGAAUUUAUUUUACUUUAAUUUUUUUUUUUAAAUUAAUAUUUUUUUAUAUAUUAUUGUUUGUUACAUUUAAUACAGAAAAACGAUAAUUAUAAAUGGAAUAGGAAGCAUAUGGUGUACGAUCAUAUUUUUUUAUAUUUUUUUUAUAUAAAACUCAAUAUUACAUAAAAAUAUAUGUGAAUAUAUGUAAAAAAAUAUAUGUAUAAAAACAUGUUCAUAAACAUAUGUAUAAGUAUAUAUAUACGUAUUUACCAUAUGCACAAUUUUUUUUUUUUAAAAAGCAAAUGUUCUUAAACUUAAAAAGAAUGUAAGAAACGUGUUUUAAAAAAUUAUAAAAAAUUAAAAAAAUCAGAAAUAUCCUUAAAAAUAAAUUAAUAGAAAAAAAAUAAAGUAAUAAUAAAAAAAAAAAAAAAAUAAAAUGUUAAGUAAAUCAUAAAUAAGGAUUACAUAAAGUUUUAUAAAUGUAAAUCAUUAGAUGAGUUCAUGAGAAAAAAUAGAACAGGUAAAUUAAUUAAGUAUAGUGAGUAUUCUCAUAGACAAAAUGAAUAUAAAGGAAAACCUUAACUUUGGUAAACACUGUACCAUUCAUAACGAUCGAAGCAGUAAUAUAUACGACAUAAAUAAUAAGAAGUAUUAUAAUAAAAAUGGCAGCAAAUAUAACGACAUAAAUAACAACGUACUUCACGAUAAAAAUAACAUGAAUAACGAGAACAAACACAUAAAUAUAAACAUAAAUCUUAUUGUAAAAUGUGACAUUUAUUUCUAUCAAUGUGUUAAAACAUAUUUUUUUAAUUUCCUUAUAAAAAAUAAUAACAUUAUUACUGUAUUAUAUUCUAAUGAUGAUAAUUUAAAUUGUAUGAGUUCGUUAAUUACUUUAGUAAAAUAUAUAAAAUAUAAUAAUGGAUUUUUUUUAAUAUAUUUAUAUUAUACGCAUACAAUGUAUAAAAUGGCUUUAUUUUUUAUGAAAAUAUAUAUUUCUGUUUAUAUAUAUAAUUUAAGAAAAUUGUACGUUUUCUUAUUUUGUGCUUACCUAAAAUAUUUAAUCGAUAAAUGUAAAUAUUUGAUCAUUAAUAAAGUAAACAAAAAAAGUGAUCAUAUAUUUAUAAAAGUAAUGAAAUAUGUAAAAAAAAUAAACAGAAUUAUAUCAAGAGCCAAAUUAAAUAAUAUGAUAAAAAAUGGUUAUACAUAUAAUUGUUAUCAAAUAAAAAAUAAUGAACAAACAAAACAAUCUAAAAAUAAUUAUUAUUCCUGUUAUGCUUUUCAACAAUUACAUAUGAAAAAAGCAUUACGCAAAGUGAAUAAAAAAAAUAAAAAUACGAAACAUAUAAAAUAUAACAAAAGAUUAUAUAAAUGUUAUGUAGUAAACAAAAAUAAUACCAAUUUUUAUUAUAGUGAUGAUGCUAAAAAAUGCAGAAGUAAUUUGAAAAACAACGACACUUACAGUGAUAGUUUAGAAAUUGACAAAACGGAUAGUAAUAACUUAGGGGACAGCAAUAAUGACCCUAUAACUAAAAAAAACGAUCGAAUUAAUAAUGAUGCAAAUAAUAGAAUAGAUAACAGAAGCGAUAAAAAUAAUAAGAAAAAUAUUGUCGAUAAUAAAUAUUGUAAAAAAGUAAUAAAUAUUACUAACAAAAUUAAAAAAAUAAAACACCAAGUGAAGUAUGUGGGUGUUAGAACAAAAAAAAAGUUUAAAAAAAAUUAUAAUAAUAAAAUAUUUGAAAAAGAGAAAAAAAAAAAAAAAAAUGUUAUAUUAUAUUAUAAAAACGUACAUAAUAUAAAUAUAAAAAAGAGUAACACAUUUUAUUUUAAUAAACAAAAUUUGAAAGAAUUCUUGAAAUUAUAUGUAAAAAAAAGAAAAACAAAUUUUUACAUUUAUGUAAGAACAAAUAAAUUAAAAAAUGAUGACAUUUUAUACAACAUGCAUAAUUAUUUAUAUGAAAUUGGUUUAUUAGAAGAAAACGUGAAAACUAAAGUUUUUAUUAACAAAAAAAAUAAUAACCGUCAUGAUAAUAGUGAUAGGAAUGGAAGUAGUGAUAGGAAUGGAAGUAGUGAUAGGAAUGGAAGUAGUGAUAGGAGUGGAAGUAGUGGUAGGAGUGGAAGUAGUGAUAUGAAUGAGUGUAGUGGUAGAAAUGACAGUAGUAAGUUUACACUUUUUGUUAACAAAAUUUUUAAAUUUUUUAAUAUAAAAUCAUAUAUAGUAAUUUAUAAUAAAAAAAUUUGCAAUUUAAUUUUAAUAGUGUUACUUAUAUUUUCAAAUAUUUUAAAUAUAAGUAUACAAAAUUUAAUCAAAGAUAUCAGAGUUAUAUCACACUUCAAAAUAAAUAGUGUGUUAAGGUCUCAUAAUAUAAAGAAAGCUAAAGAGGGAUCAAUUAAAAACGGAGUUUGUUUUAUUGUUUUCUCAUCCUGUGCUGAGAAAAAAGAAAACAUUUUAAAAAAAUGUGUUAUUUGUUUUAACAUGCUAAAUGAAUGGGUCAUACAAAGCUAUAAAAAAAAAUUUACUAUUAUCUGUAAAAAACAUCAAAUAAGAUACUUUUUUAUAUUUAUAAAAAAUUAUUUUAUUUUUUUUGUUAUGUUAACAUGUAUUGAAAUUUAUUAUUUAAUUAUUAUAUAUAAUGUUUUAAAUAAUAAAAUUUUUUUUUUUAGUUACUGAAAAUUUUAAUUUCUCAUUUUUAAGAAAAAAAAAAAAAAAUAAAUUACAAAUCGUUAAUUUGUCA
RNAcentral lists this long non-coding RNA (2764 nucleotides) under Piliocolobus tephrosceles (Ugandan red Colobus). Its description in RNAcentral is "lncRNA (ENSPTEG00000011401.1)". The record is from RNAcentral. Lineage: Eukaryota; Metazoa; Chordata; Mammalia; Primates; Cercopithecidae.